GGGCAACUGUAGCCUGUUGUUCCCGCAGGAUUUUCAGGUCAGUUGGAAGAGUCUGCAGAGUAAAUAUGGGAGUUUCUUCAUUUCCGGACACUCUUCUUUCCACUUCCUGUGGUUCUCUUGCAGCUUGUUUUGCAGCCUGAUCAGCUAGAUGGUUGCCCUUUGCUUCAUCUGAGUCCAACUUCCCAUGUGCUUUUAUCUUCAAAAUAGCCACUUCUUCUGGGAGUAGGAGGGCGUCCA
RNAcentral lists this long non-coding RNA (237 nucleotides) under Pelobates cultripes (western spadefoot toad). The record is from RNAcentral. Lineage: Eukaryota; Metazoa; Chordata; Amphibia; Anura; Pelobatidae.